UACGAAGGGGGCUAGCGUUGCUCGGAAUUACUGGGCGUAAAGCGCUUGUAGGCGGCACGUCAAGUCGCGUGUGAAAUCCCCAGGCUUAACCUGGGAAGUGCGCGCGAAACUGACGAGCUUGAGUGCCGGAGAGGGUCGCGGAAUUCCCGGUGUAGAGGUGAAAUUCGUAGAUAUCGGGAGGAACACCAGUGGCGAAGGCGGCGACCUGGACGGACACUGACGCUGAGACGCGAAAGCGUGGGGAGCAAACAGG
This 253-nucleotide ribosomal RNA is filed under the name uncultured bacterium. Its description in RNAcentral is "partial 16S ribosomal RNA". It matches the Rfam family "Bacterial small subunit ribosomal RNA", at positions 524 to 776 of the family's 1533-position model. The record is from RNAcentral.